UCUUCCACGCAGAACCAGCGGUAGACAGACCCUCCGCAUCAGCUUCCGGCCACACUCCCGCAGUCAGAGGGGCUGAGCCGAAGUCCUAAGGUUCCGCUUCGCGCAGAGGAUUCUGGACGCCGGGAAAUCCCGCGAGAGUUGAUCUCCUCGCGAGAAUGGACUUCCCCGAGAGUCGCUCUACUCCUAGCCGAUUGCUGCCAGGGGAGAGCGUCCGGGAACCGCGCUUUAAUGUUGAAUGAGAGUUUGUAGUAAAAUAAAAACUGAAAGAGACUCCAUUGUUAGAAGGCCAGAAAUCUAAUCAAGGAACGUCAGUCAUACGAAAACAAAAACAAACAAACAAAAGAAAGGACUGGCCCCAGGGACCAAGUACUGAAGGAACCUUGGAAGGGCUGUUGCUCCCUGGAAUCUUAAUCCAGAUUUUCAGAAAGUGAAUCUGGCUGGUGAAUGGAGACGUGUAAAAGUGUUCCUAGCAUUUAGGAGUGGUGAAACAGAGGAAUCCAGCCUAAGAUUGAACAGUUUAGGCAAGAGAACACGCCGUUACCAUUCGGCAAACAUAGGCUGAAAGUUCUUGUCAGGGCUUGUUUAUUGAACAGAAUUGGCUGCUUCCAUGAAUAAACACCUAAAAUGUGCAAGCGUACAUAUAUAGCUUAUCCAGAUAUUCUAGAAGCAACCAUCCAGCAUCAUCUUUGUCCUUAUUUUUCCACAAACUAUCAAAGUUCUAUAUAGAGAGAGAUCCAACAAGUCCAGGAGAGGCUUCAGUAACUGGAGAGACUUUGGUAACUAUAGUUGGCUGCCAAGCCUAUACCUAUAGCUUCAUUGACUGUGCUCCAUGAUCAGUUGACCAAGGAAGAGAAGACUAGUGUGUAGUUUACUGAUGGUUCAGCACCUUAUACAGACACCACUCACAUGUGGACAGAUGCAGCAUUACAAGCCCUUUCUGGGACAACCCUGAAAGGUAUUGGCAAAGGGAAAUGUUCAGCAGAAUGUCUAACUUUUAACUUGAUUACAAGUUUUCAUAUUAUCCCUUUGUAUUUUUUUAACAUCUUGACAAAUAUAUGCCAUUGGAGAGAUGAUUUUCUAGUUGUGAUGGUUAGCGUUAAUAAUCAACUUGACAAAGACCUGGACAAGCUAGAAGACAAGCCUCUGAGUAUACGUGUGAGAUCUGGAUUAGAUUAAUCAACUUGUGAAAACCCACCCAUUGUGGAUGACACCACUCCCUAGUAAGGGAUACUGGACUUUUUAAAGAGGAAAUGCUGUGCUGAGCAUAAAUAUUCCUUUCAGCCUGCUCCUUGGUAAUGGAUGCAUUGUGAAUAGCUCCCUUAAUGAUCCUGCUGCCUUUACUAGAAGAUGAAGUUUGAACACCUGGAACUGGAGUUACAAUCUGUUGUGAGACCCCCAAUGUAGAAGUUAGAAACUGAACCUUCUUUUCUCCAAGAGUAGUAAACUGUCUUAACUGUUAUAGACAUCGAUCCUGACCACAUCAAGCUGUUUUCAUCAGGGUGCUUUAUCAUACUAAAAAGAAAACUGAUGAAAACCCUGGUCAUGCUUGCUUGUGUUAUAAGUGCUUCUUACCUGGAUAUUCAUUUGUUACCCAGAUUUGGAUAAUUUUCUACUAUAAUUUAUUUUAUAAUUGCUCUAUGCAUUUAGUUUAAUCUCUGAUUCUUCUGUCCUGUAGAUUUUUAGACUUAGUAUCAUGACCAUUUAUUAAGGUUCUUGGACUUUGUACGUAUCCUACCUACCCACCCCUAAUAUUUAUGCUUGAAUAUUGUAUUUCAUAACCUUCUCCUCCAUCCUUACUUCUUACUCUUUAGUGAGCCUAUUGGUGAUACUUGUCAACGUUGUUUUUAUUUGAUAGAGUUCUUCUUUUUCUCAUUAAUUUAUUAUGCACUUAACAUUCUACUACCAGCCCAUCCAGUUCUCACAGUACCCCCUUUCCACUCUUUCCAUCUUUCCCCUUCUCCUCUAAGAGGGGAGAUACCCCUCUUGGUAUCUAUCACGUCACCAUUGAAUAUCAAGUCACUACAGGCCUAGGUGCAUCUUCUUCCACUGAAGCCAAAUAAUGCAGCCUAGUUAGGAGAAUGGGAUCCACAGGCAGACGACAGAUUCAGGAACAGCCCUUGCUCUGUUGUUUGGGGACUUGCAAGAAGACCAAACUGCAUAGCUGUUACAUAUAUGCAGGGGU
This is a long non-coding RNA of Mastomys coucha (southern multimammate mouse), 2182 nucleotides long. RefSeq lists it as uncharacterized. The transcript is spliced from 3 exons. NCBI's taxonomy places the organism in Eukaryota, Metazoa, Chordata, Mammalia, Rodentia, Muridae. The record is from RefSeq and is a predicted model, not a curated record.